CCAAAUGGGUUGUCCAAUGGGCA
RNAcentral lists this non-coding RNA (23 nucleotides) under Arabidopsis thaliana (thale cress). Lineage: Eukaryota; Viridiplantae; Streptophyta; Magnoliopsida; Brassicales; Brassicaceae. The record is from RNAcentral.